RNAcentral lists this long non-coding RNA (644 nucleotides) under Pan troglodytes (chimpanzee). RNAcentral's name for it is "long non-coding RNA NONPTRT010075". The record is from RNAcentral. Lineage: Eukaryota; Metazoa; Chordata; Mammalia; Primates; Hominidae.
GCCACGCCACCCCUGAUUUGACAGUAUCCUUUAAGUUCACAUCUCAACAAGCAUAAGAGGGGCUUGAGCAGAGAGAAUGCUUAGAGGCUAAGCGAUGGGCAAGUGAGAGGGAAAGAGCCGCGACAGACAGAGCUGGCUGCCUAGGGGUCUCAGAGGCUUCAUCCUGCAGGCGGCAGGCGGCAGGACAAAGGGACCUUCGCACUCGAGAUCAAGAUUCCAAGGAGUUAAACGCUACCACGCAGCCCGACCUGGAUGGGAUUUGCUCCUGGGUACAAAACGGGACACUGAUCAAAAUCAACUUGGACAAGUGACAAGAGUGAGUCUUAUGUCGGUGGAUGUCUUUUAAGGUCGUUGGAGGGAAGAGGACGGGAGGGGUGUGCCGAGGGGUAGGUGGAGAGAGGCACCGAGUCCAGAGCCGGGAUAUAAAUGCACCAGGAGCCGGGGAGCAGAGGAGCAAAUGAGUGGGGGAAAGAGUGAGAGGAAGAGUUGGAGAAAAGUCGGGGGAAAGUAGGGACAGGGUUAAGGGGAGAGAGGAGGAUGAGGGCGGCGAGGAGAGAUUAAAAGGGGAAGGGGGGUCGCUGGAGAGGAGGGCGGACUGUGGAUCGGAGGUAGGGAGAGGGGCGAGGGGAGUGCGCGGGGUGGGG